Molecule: ribosomal RNA, 282 nt
Filed under: uncultured Staphylococcus sp.
Lineage: Bacteria; Bacillati; Bacillota; Bacilli; Caryophanales; Staphylococcaceae
Description: partial 16S ribosomal RNA
Rfam family: Bacterial small subunit ribosomal RNA
Source: RNAcentral
CUCCUUUGACGUUAGCGGCGGACGGGUGAGUAACACGUGGGUAACCUACCUAUAAGACUGGGAUAACUUCGGGAAACCGGAGCUAAUACCGGAUAAUAUUUCGAACCGCAUGGUUCGAUAGUGAAAGGUGGUUUUGCUAUCACUUAUAGAUGGACCCGCGCCGUAUUAGCUAGUUGGUAAGGUAACGGCUUACCAAGGCGACGAUACGUAGCCGACCUGAGAGGGUGAUCGGCCACACUGGAACUGAGACACGGUCCAGACUCCUACCGGGAGGCAGCAGCG